GUCGAACGCUUCUUUUUCCACCGGAGCUUGCUCCACCGGAAAAAGAGGAGUGGCGAACGGGUGAGUAACACGUGGGUAACCUGCCCAUCAGAAGGGGAUAACACUUGGAAACAGGUGCUAAUACCGUAUAACAAUCAAAACCGCAUGGUUUUGAUUUGAAAGGCGCUUUCGGGUGUCGCUGAUGGAUGGACCCGCGGUGCAUUAGCUAGUUGGUGAGGUAACGGCUCACCAAGGCCACGAUGCAUAGCCGACCUGAGAGGGUGAUCGGCCACAUUGGGACUGAGACACGGCCCAAACUCCUACGGGAGGCAGCAGUAGGGAAUCUUCGGCAAUGGACGAAAGUCUGACCGAGCAACGCCGCGUGAGUGAAGAAGGUUUUCGGAUCGUAAAACUCUGUUGUUAGAGAAGAACAAGGAUGAGAGUAACUGUUCAUCCCUUGACGGUAUCUAACCAGUAAGCCACGGCUAACUACGUGCCAGCAGCCGCGGUAAUACGUAGGUGGCAAGCGUUGUCCGGAUUUAUUGGGCGUAAAGCGAGCGCAGGCGGUUUCUUAAGUCUGAUGUGAAAGCCCCCGGCUCAACCGGGGAGGGUCAUUGGAAACUGGGAGACUUGAGUGCAGAAGAGGAGAGUGGAAUUCCAUGUGUAGCGGUGAAAUGCGUAGAUAUAUGGAGG
RNAcentral lists this ribosomal RNA (672 nucleotides) under uncultured Bacilli bacterium. RNAcentral describes it as "bacterial SSU rRNA". It matches the Rfam family "Bacterial small subunit ribosomal RNA", at positions 61 to 704 of the family's 1533-position model. The record is from RNAcentral. Lineage: Bacteria; Bacillati; Bacillota; Bacilli.